Non-coding RNA from Theobroma cacao (cacao), 2350 nucleotides. Lineage: Eukaryota; Viridiplantae; Streptophyta; Magnoliopsida; Malvales; Malvaceae. The record is from RefSeq and is a predicted model, not a curated record.
CUCUUUCUCUUUCUCUCUCUCUCUCGUUUUCCACAAUGCAGAAUGGAAUCUCUGUAUUUCGAGGCUUAAUUUGAAUGCUUUAAAUGAAUAUACAACGUGAUCCCAUUUCUUUUUUUUGUGUUUUGUUUUUUGAACUUCAAAGUUUGAACCUGUAGCUUCCGCUUCUUAAAAAGUGAUUUCAUUUUUGUUUAACUUUGUUUUGGGUAUUCGUUUUUAGGGUUGUUGAGCUGAUUUUUGAAGACUUUGAGGAUAAAAGAGAUGAGGAUUUUGAGGGUAUUUCUGAGGUGGGUUUCGGAUGGAAAUGAGAGAUAGCUAUCUGGGUUUUUGAGGAUUUGAGUGAAGCUUAGAGUGGUAGAAUUUUAAAUUGAAGAAGUUUUGUGGGGAGAUCUGUUUUGGGAGCUUUCAAGGGGAUGGUUGAUGAAUGUGUGUACUGUAAGUUCAAAAUAUCUAUACAGUUGUUGCUGUUAAAGUGUUUUUGAAGUGGUAUUUAUGAAGAACAUGAUGAAUUUACUUGAUUUUUAUUAGUGGGUUUUGAUAAUUUUGAGGGUUGGAUAGGCAAUGUUGAGGAUUUGAGUGAACUGAAGAGCUGGUAAAGUGAAAACUUGGGACUGCUUUGAGGUUCAAAAGGAUAAAGCUGAGAUCUCUUGAUAAUUAGAGUUGAUUUGAGAGAUUUUAUAAUCAAUGUCCGGUGCUCCAAGAAUGAGGUCGAUGAAUGUGGCAGAUUCUGAGGCAAGGCCCGUACUGGGACCUGCAGGGAACAAGGCGGGUUCGUUGAGUGCAAGAAAACCAGCUUCAAAGCCUUUGAGAAAGGUUGAAAAGUCUCCGGUUGAGGUCACUGUAGCAGAGGAGAAAAAAGCCCUUCCAUCAUCUACUGUCAAUUCACUUUCUCCAAAAACGCAUUCUGUUAGUGUUCCAUCAGUGCUACGCCGCCACGAGCAGUUAUUACAUUCUAAUUUAUCACUAAAUGCUUCUUGUUCAUCCGAUGCUUCCACGGAUUCAUUUCACAGUCGAGCAUCUACUGGUAGGUUAAUUCGGUCAAAUAGUGUAGGAAAUAGGAGGAAGCCAUACGCAUCAAAGCCGAGAAGCGUUGUUUCUGACGGUGGUUUGGAUUCACCACCUGAUGGUUCACAUCAGAAGAAGAGAUGUGCCUGGGUGACACCAAAUACAGAUCCAAGUUAUGUUGCUUUCCAUGAUGAAGAGUGGGGAGUUCCUGUACAUGACGACAGGAAAUUGUUUGAGCUGCUUGUGCUUUCGGGUGCAUUGUCUGAACUUACAUGGCCUGCUAUACUAAGCAAAAGGCACAUAGUUAGGGAAGUUUUUGUGGAUUUUGAUCCUGUUGCUGUAUCAAAAUUGAAUGAGAAGAAGUUAGUAGCACCUGGUAGCAUCGCAAGUUCAUUGUUAUCAGAACUAAAGCUGCGAGCUAUCAUCGAGAAUGCGCGCCAAAUAUCUAAGGUUAUAGAUGAAUUCGGGUCAUUCGAUGAGUAUAUUUGGAGUUUUGUGAAUCACAAGCCUAUAGUUAGCAGAUUCAGAUAUCCUCGCCAGGUUCCGGUUAAAACUCCAAAAGCAGAUGUCAUAAGCAAAGAUCUGGUAAGAAGGGGCUUUCGAAGUGUGGGGCCCACGGUCAUCUACUCGUUCAUGCAAGUGGCGGGAAUAACCAACGACCAUCUCACGAGUUGUUUCAGAUUCCAGGAAUGCAUAACAGCAGCAGAAGGAAAAGAGGAAAAUGGUAUCAAAGAUAUGCCUGAAGAGAAAAAGACCGAUAACGUGAUGGAAUCAAAGUUAUCCAUAGCUAUCGACGAAUUGAGCUUCUCAUCAGAAUGAUGUUGGCUUGGUGGCAGAUGGCACUCCAGGUUCGAUCAUCAGUUUUACCACAUUGACUUGUAAUGAAGACACCGGCAUCAGGAGCAGCGGGCUGCAGGAAACCAGAUUUUGCCACCGGAUCUGUCGCCAUCAGAUUCUUGACCACACGGUUAAUAGGUGGGGGAGGGGACUGGUUUGAGGGUGGAUGCUAAACCCUGUAAGUUGCUGGACAGCUAAAACUUACACUGACAAGUCCAUUUGUUUGCUUUUAAUGGAUGGCAAUAAAGGGGUUGGGGGCAAAAUGUUUGUGUGUCCUCAAGGACGGGGAGGACUCCACCUUACAAGACAUGGUGCUUGUGCUGUUGGCCCCAAUAUUUACCAAUGAUGUAGGGUACCUCUGUUUCCUCCUUUUAUUGAGAUAAUAAUGGCUUUGAUGGAUGCUUUGUCUGACAAAAAACAAAAAGCCUUGGACAACUUCCAUGCUUUGUCUUUCUAAGCUUUGCGUUAGAUCUGGACAGUAACCAGCUGAAUGCAUUCUUGCAAAUUUUAA